Molecule: ribosomal RNA, 253 nt
Filed under: uncultured bacterium
Lineage: Bacteria
Description: partial 16S ribosomal RNA
Rfam family: Bacterial small subunit ribosomal RNA
Source: RNAcentral
UACAGAGGUCUCAAGCGUUGUUCGGAUUCAUUGGGCGUAAAGGGUGCGUAGGCGGCGCGGUAAGUCGGGUGUGAAAUCUCGGAGCUUAACUCCGAAACUGCAUUCGAUACUGCCGUGCUUGAGGACUGGAGAGGAGACUGGAAUUUACGGUGUAGCGGUGAAAUGCGUAGAUAUCAGGAGGAACACCGGUGGCGAAGGCGGCAUCCUGGACCGAGAUUGACGCUGAGGCACGAAGGCCAGGGGAGCAAACGGG